GCCUAGGUAGCUCAGUCAGAAGAGCAUGAGAAUCUUAAUCUCAGAGUUGUGGGUUCGAGCCUCACAUUGGGUA
This 73-nucleotide transfer RNA is filed under the name Rattus norvegicus (Norway rat). It matches the Rfam family "tRNA". Rfam says of the family: Transfer RNA (tRNA) molecules are approximately 80 nucleotides in length. Their secondary structure includes four short double-helical elements and three loops (D, anti-codon, and T loops). Lineage: Eukaryota; Metazoa; Chordata; Mammalia; Rodentia; Muridae. The record is from Rfam by way of RNAcentral.